RNAcentral lists this ribosomal RNA (458 nucleotides) under uncultured Thiobacillus sp. RNAcentral's name for it is "bacterial SSU rRNA". It matches the Rfam family "Bacterial small subunit ribosomal RNA", at positions 919 to 1382 of the family's 1533-position model. The record is from RNAcentral. Lineage: Bacteria; Pseudomonadati; Pseudomonadota; Betaproteobacteria; Nitrosomonadales; Thiobacillaceae.
ACCCGCACAAGCGGUGGAUGAUGUGGAUUAAUUCGAUGCAACGCGAAAACCUUACCUACCCUUGACAUGUCCGGAAUCCUGCAGAGAUGCGGGAGUGCCCGAAAGGGAAUCGGAACACAGGUGCUGCAUGGCUGUCGUCAGCUCGUGUCGUGAGAUGUUGGGUUAAGUCCCGCAACGAGCGCAACCCUUAUCAUUAGUUGCUACGCAAGGGCACUCUAAUGAGACUGCCGGUGACAAACCGGAGGAAGGUGGGGAUGACGUCAAGUCCUCAUGGCCCUUAUGGGUAGGGCUUCACACGUCAUACAAUGGUCGGUACAGAGGGUUGCCAAGCCGCGAGGUGGAGCCAAUCCCAGAAAGCCGAUCGUAGUCCGGAUCGCAGUCUGCAACUCGACUGCGUGAAGUCGGAAUCGCUAGUAAUCGUGGAUCAGCAUGUCACGGUGAAUACGUUCCCGGGUCUU